GGGUGCGUGGACCGAACCACCACGGUGUUGUUUGCGGUUUUAAUCCCUCCCGUGGGAUCAGGAGGAACUGAAGCUGGCAGAGUCCCAGGAAUAUGCCUGCUCCCCGAAGUAGGAGGGAAUGUCAAGGGCACGAAUUCGUUCAAGCCUCUGCCCUGCCUCUGAGCACAGCACACUGUGAUGGUCUAUACCUCUGUCCUCCUCACUGGGCUGUGACCACAUCCGUGAGGUCUCUGGCGUCCCAGCUCCCAGCAUGUGGUAGGCGUCAUCGUAAAGCCUUGAAUGAAUCUGCUGCUGUGUGAUUUCGAGUCAUCAAAUGCCAGAACAAGAAGGACCCUCAAGGACUCCUGUCUGACUCUCCCAUUUUACAAGAUCACCCUCAGAGAGACUGGGCUGCUUCCCAUGUUACAGAAGAGGAAAUUGAGGCCCGGAGACCUGAAGCACCUUCCUUGGGAGUUCCAGAGCGAGCGAGAGCAAGAGCCAAGAAUGGGACGCAGGCCCGCCCCUCGAGCUCUGGGCCCUUCGCUCUGUCCCUGCCUGGAGCUACCCAGGUUCCAGGCGCAGGACUCAGGCUUUCUCAUUCCAUGACUUCGAGGGGCCAUGGCGUUUGCGUGCGGGGGACCCUGUGGCCGGCUCGUCUCAGGUCUCCCUUCCAGUCACGCUGGGGCCCUACCCCCACUCCCACCAAGGUCCACAAUUCCCUCAGUCGACCGAUCUCAGGCUGAGGUUUUGUGGCCAGAGAGACAGACAUGGGUUCAAAUCUCCACUCCUUCAUUUACCGGCUGUGUGACCUUGGGAAAACGCCUCGACCUCCCUGAGUCCCAGGUCUCUCAUCUGCAAAAUGGAGACGACAGUACCUACUUGGCCGGGCUCCAGCUAACAGAGAAUGGCACCUGUCACUAGUAGACAAAACACAGAGGGUCAGAAUCGCCAGAAGGCCCCUGGGAAACGCGGUGGGGAGGGGGUUUCUUCCAGCCCUCAGUCUACUGGGGUGUGACGGUUCUCAGA
Molecule: long non-coding RNA, 1005 nt
Filed under: Equus asinus (donkey)
Lineage: Eukaryota; Metazoa; Chordata; Mammalia; Perissodactyla; Equidae
Description: lncRNA (ENSEASG00005027440.1)
Source: RNAcentral